CUACAUUGAAAUCUCCAGGUCAGCUAUACAUUUCUAAAGACUUAAAGGAAAGUUCAUUGAAACCAGCUGGGCUUGGUUUUAUCUUCAGCUGCUGGCUGAUCUGGCUAGACCAAGAUAGUCUCACUCAUGUAUCUGCUGGUUGGACAACUUUAAUCUGGAAAACCUUAAGUAACCAGAGGGUCCAAGCAGCAUGGAGUACGGAGUGAAAGAGGACCAUGAAAGGAUGGGAACAGGAGUACUAUUUCCUAGGCUGGACCCUAAAUGUAUAAAAAUGAAGAAAGCUAACUGAGUGAGUGAGCAUACAAAAAGGAUGCAUUCAUCCAUCUCUGCUCUUAACUGUGAAAAUUGUGAGCCAGUGUUCAAGUUCCUGCAUCAGCUUCCCCUCAGUGAUAGGCUGCAACCUGAAACUGGUCAUCAAGAUUCACUGAGUGGAUCUCCUUUGGUCAGUCUCUAAAGGGAUCAAGCUCUGAGACAUGGAUGGAUAUAUGGAACAACUAGUAUAAUUCAUAGGAAGAGCAAUGAGUGAAUUCCAUUUGGUGGCCCAGGCUUCUCUUCCCACAGUGACCCAGAAUCAACUCUGGUCUGAAUACACCUUGGUUCCCCCUGACCUUUGCAGGACCACGUCUUCCUCAUCCUGCAGGUGGUAAUGGACAUCUCUUUGCAGUUCCCAGCCUGCUUACCUCCUCACCAGAGCAUCCUCAGUUUCCCUCUGAGCCAUGAAAUCAGAGUCCUGUGGGAGAGCAUCCCAUUGCUUGAGGGAGCGCUAUGCUUCUGUUGUCUAGCCAGAAGAAGCCUUGAUUGGGUUUCCACACAGAAGGCCAGAAGCUUCCAGAAGAAUAAAGACAAGAGAUAAGCAAUGUCAAUCAAUCAUGGAGAAGAAUUAUUGGCAGAGUUAAUUGCCAUGUUGUCCUCACCUCUUCGUGUUUCCUGUGUGUGUAUAUGAAGUUUGAAUGAAUUUCUCUGGAUAGAAGUAGUUGAGAACCAAGAUUCCAACGUGAGGAGCUGUGUGAAGACAAGGCUACGGGAAGACGGACAUGGCAGGGAUGAAACCUCUCAAAGCAUCUGCAGAAACCAGCCUCUCUUCUGCAGAGGUAGCUGUUUCUGGCAAGAGCCUCGUUGUCAGCUGAUAAUGGAUGCUCAGACAUCUACAUCAUUGGCAGAGACAGAGUAAGGCCUGCCGAGGGCUUCCCCACUGAGAGAGCAAUCCAAGAGUCUCUGGGGAUUGAAGGGGAAACAAGAGAAAACAGAUGAGGAACGUUGAGAACCGACCAUCAGCAAGUAAAGACAUCUUACAAGGAGGGAACUCCAACCAUUCUGGUACCCAGAGCAAGGAUGAUGUCUUCAUCUCUUAUACAGAGGCAGAGAUGGGGGUGGGUGGGUGAAGGCAGUGCUGAGUGAAGCCCUGUGCUUGACAUGUGUGUGGCCUUGUUCCAGAGCCCUCGCUUUGAGCCCUUACAAAGCUCAACGGAUGCUUCAGUCCCAUAGCCACCUGGCCUCCUGAUCUAACAGGACAAGCCUGGGGUGGGUGGCACAGGUGACAGGAUCCAGGCACCUCUGUGCAAGCACUGCACCCCGACUCUGGGCUAGUCAUCAACCCUCUUUGAGUUCCUGGUCCCCAUUGGAGAGGUUUGGUGCUGUUCUACCAUUUCCUAGCUUUGUGGCUUUGGAGAACAGUUCCUCACGUCAAUUAACACAUUAAAGAAACCUUAGAGAAGGCACCAAAAUGUGUUGGUGUCAUAUUAAGGCAAGAAAAAGAGUUACUUCAUUUUGUAUUACUUUUGAC
Long non-coding RNA from Peromyscus maniculatus bairdii (prairie deer mouse), 1783 nucleotides. RefSeq lists it as uncharacterized. Lineage: Eukaryota; Metazoa; Chordata; Mammalia; Rodentia; Cricetidae. The record is from RefSeq and is a predicted model, not a curated record.